RNAcentral lists this transfer RNA (79 nucleotides) under Schizopygopsis thermalis. RNAcentral's name for it is "tRNA-Pro". The record is from RNAcentral. Lineage: Eukaryota; Metazoa; Chordata; Actinopteri; Cypriniformes; Cyprinidae.
CAGAAAAUAGUUUAGAAAUUCAGAAUUCUGGCUUUGGGAGGCUCAGGGGUGAGCAGUUAAAAGAGUCUCUCUUUUCUGG